GUGGGGAAUAUUGGACAAUGGGCGAAAGCCUGAUCCAGCCAUGCCGCGUGAGUGAUGAAGGCCUUAGGGUUGUAAAGCUCUUUCAGUAGGGAAGAUAAUGACGGUACCUACAGAAGAAGCCCCGGCUAACUUCGUGCCAGCAGCCGCGGUAAUACGAAGGGGGCUAGCGUUGUUCGGAUUUACUGGGCGUAAAGCGCACGUAGGCGGAUUGGUCAGUUAGGGGUGAAAUCCUGGAGCUCAACUCCAGAACUGACUUUAAUACUGCCAGUCUAGAGUCCAGAAGAGGUGAGUGGAACUCCUAGUGUAGAGGUGGAAUUCGUAGAUAUUAGGAAGAACACCAGUGGCGAAGGCGGCUCACUGGUCUGGUACUGACGCUGAGGUGCGAAAGCGUGGGGAGCAAACAGGAUUAGAAACCCGUGUAGUCC
RNAcentral lists this ribosomal RNA (425 nucleotides) under uncultured bacterium. Its description in RNAcentral is "bacterial SSU rRNA". It matches the Rfam family "Bacterial small subunit ribosomal RNA", at positions 354 to 796 of the family's 1533-position model. The record is from RNAcentral.